ACUAGCGCGGUGGUCCCACCUGACCCCAUGCCGAACUCAGAAGUGAAACGCCGUAGCGCCGAUGGUAGUGUGGGGUCUCCCCAUGUGAGAGUAGGGAACCGCCAGGC
This 107-nucleotide ribosomal RNA is filed under the name Klebsiella pneumoniae. Lineage: Bacteria; Pseudomonadati; Pseudomonadota; Gammaproteobacteria; Enterobacterales; Enterobacteriaceae. The record is from RNAcentral.